This 117-nucleotide small nuclear RNA is filed under the name Salmo trutta (river trout). RNAcentral describes it as "U5 spliceosomal RNA (ENSSTUG00000004397.1)". It matches the Rfam family "U5 spliceosomal RNA". Rfam says of the family: U5 RNA is a component of both types of known spliceosome. The precise function of this molecule is unknown, though it is known that the 5' loop is required for splice site selection and p220 binding, and that both the 3' stem-loop and the Sm site are important for Sm protein binding and cap methylation. Lineage: Eukaryota; Metazoa; Chordata; Actinopteri; Salmoniformes; Salmonidae. The record is from Rfam by way of RNAcentral.
ACAUUCUGGUUUCUCUUCAGACUGCAUAAAUCGUUCGCCUUUUACUAAAGAUUUCUGUGUAGAGGAACAUUAUGAGUAUCAAUUAUAUAUAUUCCAGGUGGUGUUGUUUACAAAAUG